UACGUAGGGUGCGAGCGUUGUCCGGAAUUAUUGGGCGUAAAGAGCUCGUAGGCGGUGUGUCACGUCGUUCGUGAAAACCUGCAGCUUAACUGUGGGCGUGCGGUCGAUACGGGCAUCACUGGAGUUCGGCAGGGGAGACUGGAAUUCCUGGUGUAGCGGUGAAAUGCGCAGAUAUCAGGAGGAACACCAAUAGCGAAGGCAGCUCGCUGGGACGGUAUUGACGCUAAGGCGCGAAAGCGUGGGGAGCAAACAGG
This 254-nucleotide ribosomal RNA is filed under the name uncultured bacterium. RNAcentral describes it as "partial 16S ribosomal RNA". It matches the Rfam family "Bacterial small subunit ribosomal RNA", at positions 524 to 776 of the family's 1533-position model. The record is from RNAcentral.